GUAGGGUGCGAGCGUUAUCCGGAAUCAUUGGGCGUAAAGAGCUCGUAGGCGGUUCAGCAAGUCGGCUGUGAAAUUCCGAGGCUCAACCUCGGAACUGCAGUCGAUACUGCUGUGACUCGAGUCCGGUAGAGGAGAAUGGAAUUCCCGGUGUAGCGGUGAAAUGCGCAGAUAUCGGGAGGAACACCAGUAGCGAAGGCGGUUCUCUGGGCCGGCACUGACGCUGAGGAGCGAAAGCGUGGGGUAGCAAACAGGAUUAGAUACCCUGGUAGUCCACGCCGUAAACGUUGGAUACUAGGUGUGGGGUUCCGACCAACGGUCCCCGUGCCGAAGCUAACGCAUUAAGUAUCCCCGCCUGGGGAUACGGCCGCAAGGCUA
RNAcentral lists this ribosomal RNA (375 nucleotides) under uncultured organism. Its description in RNAcentral is "partial 16S ribosomal RNA". It matches the Rfam family "Bacterial small subunit ribosomal RNA", at positions 527 to 896 of the family's 1533-position model. The record is from RNAcentral.